This 560-nucleotide long non-coding RNA is filed under the name Piliocolobus tephrosceles (Ugandan red Colobus). RNAcentral's name for it is "lncRNA (ENSPTEG00000010853.1)". The record is from RNAcentral. Lineage: Eukaryota; Metazoa; Chordata; Mammalia; Primates; Cercopithecidae.
UAUAUAUGCGAAUUUGAUUGUUUCUUUUUAUUUCAGCUCACUUGUCUAUCGAUAAUAAAAUAAAAAUAAAAAAAUUCUUUUUAAUUAGUGCUGCUGGAAUAGCCAAACCAAGACAUAGAUUUUUAGUUUUUAUAUUAAAACAUAACAUACGUUUGUGUCUAAAAUUGGCUAAGCGAUAUAGUCAUCUCUUAGUUUCUAAAGAUGCAGUUAAGAGGAGAUUUUAUGACGCAAAUAAUCAUUUGGAAGAAAUCGACAAAAGAUAUGAAAAUUUGAAGGAAAAUGUAAGGGAAUAAAGCUAGCGCAUUUUUUUUUCUUUUACAUAUUUAAGUUUGUAUGCAUGUACAUGGUGUAGUUAUAUAUAUAUAUAUAUAUAUAUAUAUACAUAUAUAUAUGUGUGCGUUUAUGCUGCAUAUAUGUACGUUUAUAGAAGCUGACAAAUACAUUAAUGAUUUAAAAAAUUAGUUUGGUAAAGUAAAACUUUCUAUCUUUUUAUCGUUUAUUUAUUUAUUUGUUUUUUUCAUUAUUCGAUAUUAAAUCAUUUUUUUAUUUAUCUUUUGAUA